UCGGGAAUUUUGGGCAAUGGGGGAAACCCUGACCCAGCAACGCCGCGUGAAGGAUGAAGUAUUUCGGUAUGUAAACUUCGAAAGAAUAGGAAGAAUAAAUGACGGUACUAUUUAUAAGGUCCGGCUAACUACGUGCCAGCAGCCGCGGUAAUACGUAGGGACCAAGCGUUGUUCGGAUUUACUGGGCGUAAAGGGCGCGUAGGCGGCAAUUCAAGUCAUCUGUGAAAUCUCCGGGCUUAACUCGGAACGGUCAGAUGAUACUGCUUUGCUAGAGUGCAGAAGGGGCAAUCGGAAUUCUUGGUGUAGCGGUGAAAUGCGUAGAUAUCAAGAGGAACACCUGAGGUGAAGACGGGUUGCUGGGCUGACACUGACGCUGAGGCGCGAAAGCCAGGGGAGCAAACGGGGAUUAGAUACCCAUGUAGUCCCUGAGCGGGCUGGCAAGGCGCAU
RNAcentral lists this ribosomal RNA (448 nucleotides) under uncultured bacterium. RNAcentral describes it as "bacterial SSU rRNA". It matches the Rfam family "Bacterial small subunit ribosomal RNA", at positions 355 to 825 of the family's 1533-position model. The record is from RNAcentral.